RNAcentral lists this transfer RNA (72 nucleotides) under Trichomalopsis sarcophagae. Its description in RNAcentral is "tRNA-OTHER". Lineage: Eukaryota; Metazoa; Arthropoda; Insecta; Hymenoptera; Pteromalidae. The record is from RNAcentral.
GUAGACGUAAGCUCAGUGGUUAGAGCUCCCGUGUGUUGAUCUCGGGGUCCGCGGUUCAAGCCCGCGUCUACU